CAGUAGCCGCGGUAAUACGAGGGGAGCUAGCGUUGUUCGGAAUUACUGGGCGUAAAGCGCGCGUAGGCGGCUUUUUAAGUCAGAGGUGAAAGCCCGGGGCUCAACCCCGGAAUUGCCUUUGAAACUGGAAAGCUAGAAUCUUGGAGAGGUCAGUGGAAUUCCGAGUGUAGAGGUGAAAUUCGUAGAUAUUCGGAAGAACACCAGUGGCGAAGGCGACUGACUGGACAAGUAUUGACGCUGAGGUGCGAAAGCGUGGGGAGCAAACAGGAUUAGAGACCCCCGUAGUCCCUGUCUCUUAUAA
RNAcentral lists this ribosomal RNA (301 nucleotides) under uncultured bacterium. Its description in RNAcentral is "partial 16S ribosomal RNA". It matches the Rfam family "Bacterial small subunit ribosomal RNA", at positions 509 to 809 of the family's 1533-position model. The record is from RNAcentral.